Molecule: ribosomal RNA, 532 nt
Filed under: Kocuria rosea
Lineage: Bacteria; Bacillati; Actinomycetota; Actinomycetes; Micrococcales; Micrococcaceae
Description: bacterial SSU rRNA
Rfam family: Bacterial small subunit ribosomal RNA
Source: RNAcentral
UUGUAAACCUCUUUCAGCAGGGAAGAAGCCACAAGUGACGGUACCUGCAGAAGAAGCGCCGGCUAACUACGUGCCAGCAGCCGCGGUAAUACGUAGGGCGCAAGCGUUGUCCGGAAUUAUUGGGCGUAAAGAGCUCGUAGGCGGUUUGUCGCGUCUGCUGUGAAAGCCCGGGGCUCAACCCCGGGUCUGCAGUGGGUACGGGCAGACUAGAGUGCAGUAGGGGAGACUGGAAUUCCUGGUGUAGCGGUGAAAUGCGCAGAUAUCAGGAGGAACACCGAUGGCGAAGGCAGGUCUCUGGGCUGUUACUGACGCUGAGGAGCGAAAGCAUGGGGAGCGAACAGGAUUAGAUACCCUGGUAGUCCAUGCCGUAAACGUUGGGCACUAGGUGUGGGGGACAUUCCACGUUCUCCGCGCCGUAGCUAACGCAUUAAGUGCCCCGCCUGGGGAGUACGGCCGCAAGGCUAAAACUCAAAGGAAUUGACGGGGGCCCCGCACAAGCGGCGGAGCAUGCGGAUUAAUUCGAUGCAACGCG